RNAcentral lists this ribosomal RNA (429 nucleotides) under Bacteroidota bacterium. Its description in RNAcentral is "Bacteroidetes bacterium partial 16S ribosomal RNA". It matches the Rfam family "Bacterial small subunit ribosomal RNA", at positions 355 to 776 of the family's 1533-position model. The record is from RNAcentral. Lineage: Bacteria; Pseudomonadati; Bacteroidota.
UAGGGAAUCUUCCGCAAUGGACGCAAGUCUGACGGAGCAACGCCGCGUGAGUGAAGAAGGAUUUCGGUUCGUAAAACUCUGUUGUUAGAGAAGAACAGCGCAUAGAGUAACUGUUAUGCGUGUGACGGUAUCUAACCAGAAAGCCACGGCUAACUACGUGCCAGCAGCCGCGGUAAUACGUAGGUGGCAAGCGUUGUCCGGAUUUAUAGGGCGUAAAGCGCGCGUAGGCGGUUUUUUAAGUCUGAUGUGAAAGCCCACGGCUCAACCGUGGAGGGUCAUUGGAAACUGGAAAACUUGAGUGCAGAAGAGGAAAGUGGAAUUCCAUGUGUAGCGGUGAAAUGCGCAGAGAUAUGGAGGAACACCAGUGGCGAAGGCGACUUUCUGGUCUGUAACUGACGCUGAUGUGCGAAAGCGUGGGGAUCAAACAGG